This 74-nucleotide transfer RNA is filed under the name Planctomycetota bacterium. Its description in RNAcentral is "Planctomycetes bacterium tRNA-Arg". It matches the Rfam family "tRNA". Rfam says of the family: Transfer RNA (tRNA) molecules are approximately 80 nucleotides in length. Their secondary structure includes four short double-helical elements and three loops (D, anti-codon, and T loops). Lineage: Bacteria; Pseudomonadati; Planctomycetota. The record is from RNAcentral.
GCUGCCGUAGCUCAGUUGGAUAGAGCGAUAGUUUCCUAAACUGUAGGUCAGAGGUUCGAUCCCUCUCGGUGGUA